GAUGAACGCUGGCGGCGUGCUUAACACAUGCAAGUCGAACGAAGCACUUUAUUUGAUUUUUUCGGAAUGAAGAUUUUGUGACUGAGUGGCGGACGGGUGAGUAACGCGUGGGUAACCUGCCUCAUACAGGGGGAUAACAGUUGGAAACGACUGCUAAUACCGCAUAAGCGCACAGGGUCGCAUGACCUGGUGUGAAAAACUCCGGUGGUAUGAGAUGGACCCGCGUCUGAUUAGCCAGUUGGUGGGGUAACGGCCUACCAAAGCGACGAUCAGUAGCCGACCUGAGAGGGUGACCGGCCACAUUGGGACUGAGACACGGCCCAAACUCCUACGGGAGGCAGCAGUGGGGAAUAUUGCACAAUGGGGGAAACCCUGAUGCAGCGACGCCGCGUGAGCGAAGAAGUAUUUCGGUAUGUAAAGCUCUAUCAGCAGGGAAGAAGAAAUGACG
RNAcentral lists this ribosomal RNA (448 nucleotides) under uncultured bacterium. Its description in RNAcentral is "bacterial SSU rRNA". It matches the Rfam family "Bacterial small subunit ribosomal RNA", at positions 28 to 458 of the family's 1533-position model. The record is from RNAcentral.